ACGUCUAUAGUCUAACUGGAUAAAACAAAUCUCUCCUAAAGAUUAGUUCUGAGUUCGAGUCUCGGUAGGCGUG
RNAcentral lists this transfer RNA (73 nucleotides) under Bacteriophage sp. RNAcentral's name for it is "tRNA-Arg". It matches the Rfam family "tRNA". From Rfam's summary of the family: Transfer RNA (tRNA) molecules are approximately 80 nucleotides in length. Their secondary structure includes four short double-helical elements and three loops (D, anti-codon, and T loops). Further hydrogen bonds mediate the characteristic L-shaped molecular structure. tRNAs have two regions of fundamental functional importance: the anti-codon, which is responsible for specific mRNA codon recognition, and the 3' end, to which the tRNAs corresponding amino acid is attached (by aminoacyl-tRNA synthetases). tRNAs cope with the degeneracy of the genetic code in two manners: having more than one tRNA (with a specific anti-codon) for a particular amino acid; and 'wobble' base-pairing, i.e. permitting non-standard base-pairing at the 3rd anti-codon position. The record is from RNAcentral.